UACGUAGGCAGCAAGCGUUGUUCGGAAUUACUGGGCGUAAAGAGUGUGUAGGCGGUGUUCCAAGUCUGGUGUGAAAUCUCCGGGCUUAACUCGGAACGGUCAAGUGAUACUGCUGUGCUAGAGUGCGGAAGGGGCAACUGGAAUUCUCGGUGUAGCGGUGAAAUGCGUAGAUAUCGAGAGGAACACCUGCGGCGAAGGCGGGUUGCUGGGCCGACACUGACGCUGAAGCGCGAAAGCUAGGGGAGCGAACGGG
This 253-nucleotide ribosomal RNA is filed under the name uncultured prokaryote. RNAcentral's name for it is "partial 16S ribosomal RNA". It matches the Rfam family "Bacterial small subunit ribosomal RNA", at positions 524 to 776 of the family's 1533-position model. The record is from RNAcentral.